GGGCGUUUAGCUCAGCUGGUUCAGAGCAUCUGCCUUACAAGCAGAGGGUCGGGAGUUCAAAUCUCUCAACGCCCA
This 75-nucleotide transfer RNA is filed under the name Kapaibacterium sp. (SeqCode). RNAcentral describes it as "tRNA-Val". It matches the Rfam family "tRNA". Rfam says of the family: Transfer RNA (tRNA) molecules are approximately 80 nucleotides in length. Their secondary structure includes four short double-helical elements and three loops (D, anti-codon, and T loops). Lineage: Bacteria; Pseudomonadati; Bacteroidota; Eximiradiia; Eximiradiales; Kapaibacteriaceae (SeqCode). The record is from RNAcentral.